ACAAGCCGGGGCCGGAACACGCAAGUUCCAUUUUCUCCCUGCUUUUCUCUCUCUCACUGACAAGCACCCUACUUGUGACGGGCCCACUGUCCGUGGGCCAGGCAUCAAUGGGUCCGCUGGACCUACCAGGCUACCAUGUGUCGUUUGCUUUAGUGCCACAUUUCUAAUCACGCUGAGACAUGCAUGACUGAUCCGAUGAACAGCUAAAACCUUUUGUUAUUUGAGACUCUC
Molecule: long non-coding RNA, 231 nt
Filed under: Hordeum vulgare
Lineage: Eukaryota; Viridiplantae; Streptophyta; Magnoliopsida; Poales; Poaceae
Description: long non-coding RNA (HVUL_LNC011562)
Source: RNAcentral